RNAcentral lists this transfer RNA (73 nucleotides) under Zootermopsis nevadensis. It matches the Rfam family "tRNA". Rfam says of the family: Transfer RNA (tRNA) molecules are approximately 80 nucleotides in length. Their secondary structure includes four short double-helical elements and three loops (D, anti-codon, and T loops). Lineage: Eukaryota; Metazoa; Arthropoda; Insecta; Blattodea; Termopsidae. The record is from Rfam by way of RNAcentral.
CGAAACGUGGUCUAGCGGUUAGAACGCUGGCCUUGUAAUCCUGGGGUCUCGGGUUCGAUUCCCGGCGGUGCCC